Molecule: ribosomal RNA, 600 nt
Filed under: Trichophyton benhamiae
Lineage: Eukaryota; Fungi; Ascomycota; Eurotiomycetes; Onygenales; Arthrodermataceae
Description: eukaryotic LSU rRNA
Rfam family: 5.8S ribosomal RNA (bases 260-413)
Source: RNAcentral
UUAGCGCGCAGGCCGGAGGCUGGCCCCCCACGAUAGGGCCAAACGUCCGUCAGGGGUGAGCAGAUGUGCGCCGGCCGUACCGCCCCAUUCUUGUCUACAUUACUCGGUUGCCUCGGCGGGCCGCGCUCUCCCAGGAGAGCCGUUCGGCGAGCCUCUCUUUAGUGGCUAAACGCUGGACCGCGCCCGCCGGAGGACAGACGCAAAAAAAUUCUUUCAGAAGAGCUGUCAGUCUGAGCGUUAGCAAGCAAAAAUCAGUUAAAACUUUCAACAACGGAUCUCUUGGUUCCGGCAUCGAUGAAGAACGCAACGAAAUGCGAUAAGUAAUGUGAAUUGCAGAAUUCCGUGAAUCAUCGAAUCUUUGAACGCACAUUGCGCCCCCUGGCAUUCCGGGGGGCAUGCCUGUUCGAGCGUCAUUUCAGCCCCUCAAGCCCGGCUUGUGUGAUGGACGACCGUCCGGCGCCCCCGUCUUUGGGGGUGCGGGACGCGCCCGAAAAGCAGUGGCCAGGCCGCGAUUCCGGCUUCCUAGGCGAAUGGGCAACAAACCAGCGCCUCCAGGACCGGCCGCCCUGGCCUCAAAAUCUGUUUUAUACUUAUCAGGUU